ACGGAAGGCAGCAGUGAGGAAUAUUGGUCAAUGGGCGCAGGCCUGAACCAGCCAAGUCGCGUGAGGGAUGACGGUCCUACGGAUUGUAAACCUCUUUUGCCGGGGAGUAACAAGCGGGUCGUGACCCGCCGUGAGAGUACCCGGAGAAAAAGCAUCGGCUAACUCCGUGCCAGCAGCCGCGGUAAUACGGAGGAUGCGAGCGUUAUCCGGAUUUAUUGGGUUUAAAGGGUGCGCAGGCGGCGCGUCAAGUCAGCGGUCAAAUCCCGGGGCUCAACCUCGGUCCGCCGUUGAAACUGCCGUGCUAGAGUUCGUGCGAGGAGAGCGGAAUGCGUGGUGUAGCGGUGAAAUGCAUAGAUAUCACGCAGAACGCCGAUUGCGAAGGCAGCCCUCCAGCACUGGACUGACGCUCAUGCACGAAAGCGUGGGUAUCGAACAGGAUUAGAUACCCUGGUA
Molecule: ribosomal RNA, 453 nt
Filed under: uncultured Barnesiella sp.
Lineage: Bacteria; Pseudomonadati; Bacteroidota; Bacteroidia; Bacteroidales; Barnesiellaceae
Description: partial 16S ribosomal RNA
Rfam family: Bacterial small subunit ribosomal RNA
Source: RNAcentral